Molecule: ribosomal RNA, 253 nt
Filed under: uncultured bacterium
Lineage: Bacteria
Description: partial 16S ribosomal RNA
Rfam family: Bacterial small subunit ribosomal RNA
Source: RNAcentral
UACGGAGGGCGCGAGCGUUAAUCGGAAUUACUGGGCGUAAAGCGCGCGUAGGCUGUUGUGUAAGUUGGGGGUGAAAUCCCACGGCUCAACCGUGGAACAGCCCUUGAUACUGCGCGACUUGAAUCCGGGAGAAGGUGGCGGAAUUCCAGGUGUAGGAGUGAAAUCCGUAGAUAUCUGGAGGAACAUCAGUGGCGAAGGCGGCCACCUGGACCGGUAUUGACGCUGAGGCGCGAAAGCGUGGGGAGCAAACAGG